RNAcentral lists this ribosomal RNA (496 nucleotides) under uncultured bacterium. RNAcentral's name for it is "bacterial SSU rRNA". It matches the Rfam family "Bacterial small subunit ribosomal RNA", at positions 26 to 518 of the family's 1533-position model. The record is from RNAcentral.
AGGAUGAACGCUAGCGGCAGGCCUAAUACAUGCAAGUCGAACGGGAUAGGCUCCUUCGGGGGCCUGAGAGUGGCGCACGGGUGCGCAACGCGUAUGCAACAACCCCCGACAGGCGGAUAGCCGGUGGAAACGCCGGAUAAUACGCCAUGGUUCCGUGGGAGGGCAUCCUCCUGAGGAUAAAGCCGAGAGGCGGUCGGGGACGGGCAUGCGUCCCAUUAGAUGGUAGGCGGGGUGACGGCCCACCUAGUCCACGAUGGGUAGGGGAUCUGAGAGGACGGUCCCCCACACUGGUACUGAGACACGGACCAGACUCCUGCGGGAGGCAGCAGUAAGGGAUAUUGGUCAAUGGGCGGAAGCCUGAACCAGCCACGCCGCGUGAGGGAAUGAGGCCCUACGGGUCGUGAACCUCUUUUAUUCGGGGACAAGGACGCGGUCGGGAACCGUGUUUGAGGGUACCGAAGGAAUAAGCGUCGGCUAACUCCGUGCCAGCCGCCGC